AACGACUCUCGGCAACGGAUAUCUCGGCUCUCGCAUCGAUGAAGAACGUAGCGAAAUGCGAUACUUGGUGUGAAUUGCAGAAUCCCGUGAACCAUCGAGUCUUUGAACGCAAGUUGCGCCCGAGGCCAUUAGGCCGAGGGCACGUCUGGCUGGGUGUCACGCAACG
Molecule: ribosomal RNA, 166 nt
Filed under: Guibourtia ehie
Lineage: Eukaryota; Viridiplantae; Streptophyta; Magnoliopsida; Fabales; Fabaceae
Description: 5.8S ribosomal RNA
Rfam family: 5.8S ribosomal RNA
About the family: 5.8S ribosomal RNA (5.8S rRNA) is a component of the large subunit of the eukaryotic ribosome. It is transcribed by RNA polymerase I as part of the 45S precursor that also contains 18S and 28S rRNA.
Source: RNAcentral